Non-coding RNA from Arachis ipaensis, 303 nucleotides. The record is from RefSeq and is a predicted model, not a curated record. Lineage: Eukaryota; Viridiplantae; Streptophyta; Magnoliopsida; Fabales; Fabaceae.
AAUGCGAAAUAGCAACAUUCGAAUUAGCCCACAAUUUCGUGUCCAUAGUAAUUCGAAACAGACUGUUUUAAAUUACUACCUGUUUUGGCUGCCGUUGGUAAUUCGAAUCCUACUCAUUCGAAUUACAUGGCCCUUGUCUAUAUAAAGAGUUUGAGGUAACCUCAUUCGAACCACUAUUCUAAAUCCAUGCCCCACCAAAUUCCAGAGAAAAGGACCCCGUACGACUCCAACAAAGGCUUGAGCAGAAUAUUUAGCCGAUGGGGGAUAAUUCGGACCGACUUUAUCGUUUGGAUGGAGUAGCCC